RNAcentral lists this ribosomal RNA (253 nucleotides) under uncultured Oscillospira sp. RNAcentral describes it as "partial 16S ribosomal RNA". It matches the Rfam family "Bacterial small subunit ribosomal RNA", at positions 524 to 776 of the family's 1533-position model. Lineage: Bacteria; Bacillati; Bacillota; Clostridia; Eubacteriales; Oscillospiraceae. The record is from RNAcentral.
UACGUAGGUGGCAAGCGUUAUCCGGAUUUACUGGGUGUAAAGGGCGUGUAGGCGGGACUGCAAGUCAGAUGUGAAAACCACGGGCUCAACCUGUGAACUGCAUUUGAAACUGUUUCCCUUGAGUAUCGGAGAGGUCAUCGGAAUUCCUAGUGUAGCGGUGAAAUGCGUAGAUAUUAGGAAGAACACCAGUGGCGAAGGCGGAUGACUGGACGACAACUGACGGUGAGGCGCGAAAGCGUGGGGAGCAAACAGG